CCGAGUUAUACAACUCAUCAACCCUGUGAACAUACCUAUAACGUUGCCUCGGCGGGAACAGACGGCCCCGUAACACGGGCCGCCCCCGCCAGAGGACCCCCUAACUCUGUUUCUAUAAUGUUUCUUCUGAGCAAACAAGCAAAUAAAUUA
This 150-nucleotide unclassified non-coding RNA is filed under the name soil metagenome. Its description in RNAcentral is "partial internal transcribed spacer 1". The record is from RNAcentral.